UAUUCAAGGAAUGAGUCAGUGAGUACAACUGAUAGGGAAAAAUCUGUUACAAGAUGGCCAGCAGGACUGACAGGGGAAUUCCAGUCCCCACAGGAAGACUCCCCUUCCGGGUUCUUCUUCCCACCCAGCUCCCCGCAUGCGCCAAAUGACUACUAAUACGGAAUGCGGAAGUGACGGACUAUGAAUUGUUCCCUCUGCUUAUGCCUGGGUUCAGACCUCUGGAGAGUGAUCUCCUCUGACCUGCCAGUGUGAAAUAAUCUUGCCUUCCAAGAUCUCCGAGUGCUGCUUGGCUCUUCUGCCAGGUGAUCCAGACCAGGUUCCGUAACAUUUGGUUUCCUGACCGGGAAACCGUGCUGGCCCAUUGUUGCCACCUGUUUGGGAAAACGGCGAGGCGGUGACGGAACGAGGAAUCGCAACGGAGAAGGCGCGCCCUGCCUGAAUUUCGGCAGUCUCCCUCUUGGUGGCCUUAGGCCGGCCCCAGUCUGUCUGCCGUUCCCACUGCACUGGAGGAGACUUGGCCGUGGAGGAUCUGGACCCGAUGUGGGAUACAGUGGCAAAGGAUUCAUCUCUCUGUGAGGAUCUUAGGGGCACAGGCUCAGUGACGGCAAGACGGCAGAUAAUUUCACAGUGCCAUCCUGUUGGUGACUAUAAUUACUGUCCCUGAAGAAUGAAACAAAGACUUCCCACUAAGAUCUAUUGUAGUCCAAUUUAUAUUUCAGAAGUUUAAAUUGAUAAUUAAGUGAUUUUAACACAAACUUUAUAUUUGAAUCUUAGCUUUGUUUGAGGUGCUAUUCUGCUGUAAGUAUCUGGUGAUAGAGCUGGCAUGUAUUUAAAGGAUACUUAAAUUUUAUUAAAAUGAUGAAGCUAGGAUUUGGGCUAUGAAACUAGACUGGGGUUUGAAUCCUAUUCUACCACUUACUAGCUGCAUUUGUGCCUCAGUAUCAUCAUUUAUAGAGUACAGAUUGCUUUCACCAA
Prionailurus viverrinus (fishing cat) is the source of this 975-nucleotide long non-coding RNA. RefSeq lists it as uncharacterized. The transcript has 3 exons. The record is from RefSeq and is a predicted model, not a curated record. NCBI's taxonomy places the organism in Eukaryota, Metazoa, Chordata, Mammalia, Carnivora, Felidae.